RNAcentral lists this ribosomal RNA (253 nucleotides) under uncultured bacterium. RNAcentral describes it as "partial 16S ribosomal RNA". It matches the Rfam family "Bacterial small subunit ribosomal RNA", at positions 524 to 776 of the family's 1533-position model. The record is from RNAcentral.
GACGAGUCUCACGAACGUUAUUCGGAAUUACUGGGCGUAAAGCGUACGUAGGCGGCUUUGUAAGUCAGAGGUGAAAGCCCACGACUCAAUCGUGGAACUGCCUUUGAGACUGCUUCGCUUGAAGAUGGGAGAGGUUAGUGGAAUUCCGAGUGUAGAGGUGAAAUUCGUAGAUAUUCGGAAGAACACCAGUGGCGAAGGCGGCUAACUGGACCAUUCUUGACGCUGAGGUACGAAAGCGUGGGGAGCAAACAGG